AUUAUAUUAAUUUAAUAAAAUAUUUAAAAAGUAAUAAUAUUAAAUACUAUAUAAUAACAGAUAUUAAAAAUUUGAAACUAAAUAAGAUAGUUUUAAAAAAAUUUAUUGUAUAUUUAUUAGAAAUAAAAAAAAUUAAAAUUAUUUUCAACUUAACAAACUUAAAUGUUGAUAAUAAUAGUGUUAAAAACUUAAAACUAAUUAAUAAGGAGUUGGUAUUGUUUUUAAUGUAUAUAAAUUUCUUAUAAAGGAUAUAUUUUGUAAUGAUGUAAAUAAAUUAGUAUAGUUUAAUAAAUAUUAAACUAGAAGUAUUAUAAUACUACUUAUAUUACUUAUAAAUAUUUUAAUAUGAUAGAGUAAAGUACUGUGAAGGAAAGAUGAAAAGAAUUUUUGUAUAAAUUUUAAAAGAUCUUGAAAUUUAAUGGUAUAUCAGUUUUAGCUUAUUGUUAAAACGUACCUUUUGCAUAAUGGACUAACGAGUUUAUAUUAAUAGCGAGUAAAGGUGACUAAUUACGUAUUGAAAAAAAAUUAGUUAUUAAUAUAAGACCCGAAGCUAAGUGAUCUAACUAUUAUUAAGUUGAAAAUUUAAUAAAUUGAAGGACUGAACCCGUAAAUGUUGCAAAAUUUUGGGAUAAAUAAUAGUUAGGGGUGAAAGGCUAAUCAAACUUAGUUAUAGCUGGUUUUCUAUGAAAUCUAUUUUAGUAGAGAUGUUAAUUAACGUUUAUUUUAGGUAUAAUUAUUUUUUUUGCAAAUUAUUUAAAAUAAUUUAAUAAAGAAAAUUUUUUAAUUAAAAUAAAUAUUAUUAAUAAACAGAUUAAUAGCGCUAAGGUUUUUAAUCGAGAGGGAAACAGCCCAGAUUAUAUGUUAAGGUUUUUAAAAUUGUUUAAUUUGUAAGGUUAUAAGAAUAUAUAUUAACUAAAAAGUAAGCUUGGAAGCAGCUAUCUUUUAAAGAAAGCGUAAAAGUUCAUUAGUUAAUUUAAUAUUGUAUAUUUAUAUUAGUAUUCUUAUAACUAAAAAUGUAUAGAAAAUAUAACAAUUACCGAAACAAUAAAUUUUAGAUGGUAAUAGAAUUUAAUGUAUAUUUAUAUUAAAAUUGAUAAAUUUUAAUUUGAUAUCAUUAGUAAUAAUGUUAGUAUUAGUAGUAGAUAUAAUGUGCAAAUCAUUAUUGCUUUAUGAGUUAGAGUUGCUUUACUAAGAUAAUCUAAUAAAGUGUAAUACUUCCCUAAAAAAUAAAAAAUAUUUUUUAUUUAAUGGCUAUAUUAAUUUUUAAAAUUAAGCAUAUUUAAUUAGUUAUUUUUUCUUAUUAAAUAUGUUUAUUUUAUCUAGAAAAAAAUUAAUAAAUUAAAGUAUUAAUUCUAACACAGGUAUUCUAGUUGAAUAAAUGAAAGCAAAAAGAUUAAUAAUAUUGAAGGAACUCGGCAAAUUAACUUUGUAACUUCGGGAUAAAAAGGACUAAAUGUAAUAAAAAAGAAGGGGUGGCGACUGUUUAUUAAAAACAUAAGAUUUUGCUAAAUUUUAUAAAAUGAUGUAUAAGAUCUGACACCUGCCCAAUGCUGCAAGAUGAAAUAAAAUAGUUAUGCUGUUUUUAUAAAUCCCAGUGAAUGGCGGCCGUAACCCUGACGGUCCUAAGGUAGCGAAAUUCCUUGACGGGUAAGUUCCGUCCUGCAUGAAUGGUGUAACGACUGCCCCGCUGUCUCCAAUAUUAUUCUUACGAAAUUGAAUUAGUUGUGAAGAUGCAAUUAUUUUAUAGUUAGACGGGAAGACCCUAUGCACCUUUACUAUAACCUGUAUUUAAAUUUUGAUUUUUUUAGCCUAGUAAUGUAGGAAAUUUAUAUUAGAAAUGGAAAACUACUCUAAAAAAAUUAAAAUUUUAAUUAUAUAAUAAUAUAUAAAUAUAAUAAAUAUUGGUUGGUAGUUUGGCUGGGGCGGCCACCUCCUAAAAAGUAACGGAGGUGUAUAUAUAUUUUUAAAUUAAAGUAUAAAAUAUUUUUAUGAAAUGGAAUAAUUUUUUAAGAAUUGAUUAAUAUACAAACAAGUAUAUUAAGGAUUAACGUCUAUUAUAUUGACCCGGUAUAUUUUAGUAGAAAAAUUAUCGAGUAACGAAUAAAAGGUACGCUAGGGAUAACAGGCUAAUGAAUUUUGAGAGUUCUUAUUGAUAAAUUCGUUUGGCACCUCGAUGUCGGCUUAUCACAUCCUAGUAAUGUAUAAGUUAUUAAGGGUUCGGCUGUUCGCCGAUUAAAGUGGUACAUGAGCUGGGUUUAGAACGUCGUGAGACAGUUUGGUCCCUAUCUGCUAUAAAUCAUAGAAAAUAAAUAAUAGUUGACUCUAGUACGAGAGGACCGAGUAAAGUUAAUCAAUGGUGAUAAAUUACUAAGUAAUAUUAGUAUGUUUAUAAGCUACAUUAAUGUUUGGUAAUGUAAAUUUAAAAGUAAAAAACAUAACCUAAAUUAUUUUAUUUUCUAAUAAUAAGUUUUUAGACUAAAAACUUUAUAUUUAUGUUAUUUAGAAAUAUUAGUAAUAAUAUAUAAAUAAUAAAUAUAAUUAUUAAUUAUUAAUACUGUUUAGUUUU
RNAcentral lists this ribosomal RNA (2566 nucleotides) under Uronema marinum. RNAcentral's name for it is "large subunit ribosomal RNA". The stretch from base 319 to 2470 matches the Rfam family "Bacterial large subunit ribosomal RNA". Lineage: Eukaryota; Ciliophora; Oligohymenophorea; Philasterida; Uronematidae. The record is from RNAcentral.